RNAcentral lists this ribosomal RNA (196 nucleotides) under uncultured bacterium. Its description in RNAcentral is "partial 16S ribosomal RNA". It matches the Rfam family "Bacterial small subunit ribosomal RNA", at positions 1305 to 1500 of the family's 1533-position model. The record is from RNAcentral.
CUGAAAUUACGCCUUCCAUGAAGCCGGAAUUGCUAGUAAUGGCAGGUCAGCAUACUGCCGUGAAUACGUUCCCGGGCCUUGUACACACCGCCCGUCACACCAUGAGAGUUGGGAAUACCCGAAGCCUGUGAGCUAACGCAAGAGGCAGCAGUCGAAGGUAGAAUCAAUGAUUGGGGUGAAGUCGUAACAAGGUACC